UGGGGAAUUUUGGACAAUGGGCGAAAGCCUGAUCCAGCAAUGCCGCGUGUGUGAAGAAGGCCUUCGGGUUGUAAAGCGCUUUUGUCCGGAAAGAAAUCCUUGGAUCUAAUACAGUCGGGGGAUGACGGUACCGGAAGAAUAAGCACCGGCUAACUACGUGCCAGCAGCCGCGGUAAUACGUAGGGUGCAAGCGUUAAUCGGAAUUACUGGGCGUAAAGCGUGCGCAGGCGGUUUGCUAAGACCGAUGUGAAAUCCCCGGGCUCAACCUGGGAACUGCAUUGGUGACUGGCAGGCUAGAGUAUGGCAGAGGGGGGUAGAAUUCCACGUGUAGCAGUGAAAUGCGUAGAGAUGUGGAGGAAUACCGAUGGCGAAGGCAGCCCCCUGUGCCAAUACUGACGCUCAUGCACGAAAAGGCGUGGGGGAGCAAAACAGGAUUAGAUACCCCUGGUAGUCCACGCCCUAAACGAUGUCAACUAGUUGUUGGGGAUUCAUUUCCUUAGUAACGUAGCUAACGCGUGAAGUUGACCGCCUGGGGAGUACGGUCGCAAGAUUAAAACUCAAAGGAAUUGACGGGGUCAUAGCUGUUUCCU
Molecule: ribosomal RNA, 590 nt
Filed under: uncultured bacterium
Lineage: Bacteria
Description: partial 16S ribosomal RNA
Rfam family: Bacterial small subunit ribosomal RNA
Source: RNAcentral